This 95-nucleotide ribosomal RNA is filed under the name Leccinum populinum. RNAcentral describes it as "partial 5.8S ribosomal RNA". It matches the Rfam family "5.8S ribosomal RNA", at positions 58 to 154 of the family's 154-position model. From Rfam's summary of the family: 5.8S ribosomal RNA (5.8S rRNA) is a component of the large subunit of the eukaryotic ribosome. It is transcribed by RNA polymerase I as part of the 45S precursor that also contains 18S and 28S rRNA. The record is from RNAcentral. Lineage: Eukaryota; Fungi; Basidiomycota; Agaricomycetes; Boletales; Boletaceae.
GUAAUGUAAUUGCAGAUUUUCAGUGAAUCAUCGAAUCUUUGAACGCACCUUGCGCCCCUUGGUAUUCCGAGGGGCAUGCCUGUUUGAGUGUCAUU